Molecule: long non-coding RNA, 5348 nt
Organism: Grus americana (Whooping crane)
Lineage: Eukaryota; Metazoa; Chordata; Aves; Gruiformes; Gruidae
Exons: 4
Source: RefSeq, a predicted model, not a curated record
UUGGCAGGAACUAAGAUUCUUUCAAGGUACCGUUGGGGGCUGAUCCACACAAAGCACAUUUAAGGAAGCACUUGAAUUGAAGGGGUUCUGUCCUUUGUAUCCAGUAUGCACAACUCCGGACUUCUGUGAUAACUUGUACAUUUUCAACAUCUCCCUAUUUCUCAGCUGUGGAACUGAGAGAUGAACACGCACGUUGCAAGUAUGUUAGUGCUUACACAGAGCCAAGGCCUUUUCUGCUUCUCACACCACCCCACCAGUGAGGAGGCUGGGGGUGGACAAGAAGCUGGGAGGGAACACAGCCGGGACAGCUGACCCCAACUGAUCAAAGGGAUGUUCCAUACCAACUGAUGUCAUGCUCAGCACAUAAAGUUAGGUGAAAGUUGGCCGGGGGGCUGCUGCUCAAGGACUGGCUGGGCAUCAGUUGGUUGGUGAUUUUCUAUAUGACCUUGGAAAAGUUGGAUGGGGCUGAUUCUGCACUGGAAAGUCGAUGGGCCAUAUUCUACAAAGAGAUGAGGACUGAAACUGCAUCCUUCCUGUAACUCUUGUCUCUUCCCUUGUAAAAAGAGGCUAACACUGUACUCCUGCCUCCUCGAGGUGCAGCAAAGCUAAAUCACCUGGGGCAUUUGAGGUGCAUGUCACAGGACCCGGAAAAGAAAGACGUUGAGUGGAUCCUGACCUCACGGAAGUCAAUGGCAGCGUUUUCUUUCAUUUUCAGGGGGUCUGAACUGUGCCUGAGCUUUUCCUCCGAAGCCUAUGGCUGUCAGGGUCCUUUGGGCACUAAUGAGCCUUACUAGCCCUGACCAGCUUCUACCCUCUGCCCAGGAGCACUGCUUCAGCUCAGGGCUCGGCAUGCAGUCCUUGCCUGAGCUAUGCUGUGCCACGUCUAUCUCUGACUGUGCCCUCUGGACGGAUCCAUGUUGUAGUCCUGUCUCCAGUCCUACCUCUCACCCUUGUCUGCUGGGUGGACCUUGGAACUGGCUGAUUAUGACUAUUUUGCCUUGGGUGAGGCUGUUGAUGGGAUUCAUUGCUAUGACCACCUGGCUCUGCCCCAUGUUCAGACCCGGCGGGACUGCACCCUGUCAGUGACGGCACGGCCUGUGCCAGGUCACAUGUGGCUCCUGGCUCGUCUCCACUCGUGGCACAGCCCUGCUCAUGCUGCUCCCUGAUGCUGCUCCUGCAGAGACUGAAUUUAUGCCCUGUGACAAAUCCUCUGAUGAGAAAUUCGGUCAAACCAUUUAGAGUGCUUGAAGUGAACUGGGGGGUUAUAAUAAAUCUUUGCAGGAUCACAGGUCUCUGUAAUGCAAAAAUGCGCAACCCUAGAUAUAGAAAUAGUUGUAUACAGCUUAACUGAGUGGUAAUGCAGCUCUUGGACCUACAGGAAUAUAGGAAUAUCUAUAGAUAUCCAGAUCUACUAAAGAAAUGGCUAGUCCUCAGCCUUGCAGAGAGCAACUUGAAAAGUUAAGAACUCUAGAUGUCAAAAGAACAAGAGUUGAAAAUAGAAAUAUCCAGACAAUCCCACUUACAUUUAUUGUGCUUGGAGUCUAGGAAAUCAGAUGGAUUUUAAGCUAACUUCAUGAUUUAUUGCAGUUUAUUACCUGAUACUUGGAUGCCUGUGAUUAGCCAGACACAGAAGAUGACAGGCAGUGGUAUUUUUUGUUCACCGUGAGGCAAAAGGGGCAAACUUCAGUCAGUUUUCUAUUAACCUUUCCCCUCCAAGCAUCCAAACAACAAAUGCAUAGAAAUACUGGUAUUUAAAUUUGAAAUUCUGUUGGUGGGGUAACAGCUCUCCCCAGGGUGCUUAUCUGUAAGGUAACAAUUGCUUCACAUUUUAUAGUCUCUUUUUGUUCUCGAUUUUUUUGUUUAAGAAAUGCAACCCUCAGAAUGAUUGGGAAUUUCUUUUGGAUGUUUUUAAUACGAGAUGCAAAUACAUGCGCAAAAAUUCAAGACUGAGUCGUUGCUAUUUCCUUCAUCAGCCUCUGGGUCCUGUAUCCAACAGGUGCCAGGGAAGGCAAAGUUUAAAUUCCCCACUGGCACAGUUCAUCUGAGCAUGCUGGGAUCUACCAGUCUAGGUCCAGGAGCAGAAUUUGGCCUGUGAGGUAGGGGAUGCCCUGAGUGUGCUUGCACCGUAUAACGUACUGCAGUACCAGGAGGGCGCAGGAAGACCUGCCGUAAUUACUGAGUUCAGAUGAGCGUAACAGCCUGUGUUGGAUCUCGGGGUAACAUGGCCACGUGCUUCUGGAUGAAGCUGUGCAUGCAGACCAGCUUGUGUGAGGGACUGCACUGUACCCCUUCGAUGUGACUCUAUGAAUAAUGAGUAAGACUGCUAAAAAAGAGGCAUUCUUUCUCUUUCCCUUAGUAGAAACUCUCUAAGGUUGUGCUAAUACUUCAUACAGUUAUUUGGUUAUAUUUGAUUGGGUAGCUUUGAAAAAGAGUCUUUUUAGCAAGGAAGGUAUUAUUUAUUGCUCCUCUUAGGGAAGUUCUUGUAGAUCCCCUUUGAGACAGGCAGGUCCGUGGUGCUCUACGGUGUAAGUUUACUCAGUGGGUAAAGAGGAGAGUCACUGUGCCAGGAGCUCUCCUGGUAUAACUGCUGUGACACGUGGAACAAAGCCAGCAAAUGCCCUGGGGUUGGGGAAGGGAGCAGGAGAUCAAGGUAACAAAAUAGCUGCAGUUUAGUAUGAUAACAAACUUGACAGAUUACAAUUUACCUAAGGAAUGAAAUGGGAAUGCUUCUUCCUUGAAGACCAUGUGCUGUGGCACCAUCACCUUCCUCCUCAGUUCUGAUAGCAGCUGAGAUUUGGCCAGAGAGGACAUCCUCUCUGGGACACUGCCUUUAUCGCCGAUUUGUCUCUCUUCCCCAUUGCCUGUUAUCCUGUUCUCACCUAGUAUUAACACACAAGAUGGUGAUUAUGGAAUGACUUGACAGAGGCUGCGCUGUCUGAACUACCGAUAAACUAUGGCUGAUGUGGCAGGGACUAAUGCGAUUGCAUUGAUUUGUAAGUUGUACUAACAAUUCCAGUUGAUGGCAUAAAUCAGUAGAUUUUACUCUUUGGGUUAUCAGAUUCACACGUUUCCUAUUAUAAACUUUUGCAUACAUAGAUUGCUGAGUAGCGCAUAUGAAAUAACUUAUUUUUUUCUUCUUAGACCUCAUAGAAUAUAAGUCCAUCAAGCACAGACUGAAAGCCCUCGAUUUUAAAACAAAAGUGCCUUCAGAGUAAGGUCUCUAACCCUCACAGAGCAGAUAUUAAUUCAUUGAAAUUGUUUUUAAAGAAAGGUACUAUUUUACAGGAAGGUAAGUAUAUUUUUCCAGUAGAUCUAGUUGUCAAGAUGUUUUUAGAGAAAAUGAGUCUUUGCCACUACUAAUGAAUAAGGCAGUUGAAAUUCCUCUGUACCCAUGACCUAAAUUAAUGUUCAGCUUCUCAAAGGGUUAUGGGAGUAAUAGUGUGCAAAGCCUUUCUGCAAACUGUAGGAGGGUUAGAGAGUAAAUUGUUUGGGCCUGCAAGUCUGUGGAGAGAUUGUAAAUAUAUCAGUGGUGAACAAAAAAAAUUUAUUUGUAUUAAGGGGGACUGUUUUCUGCUUCUGAAAUUGUUGCCAUCACAAAAAUAUACAAUAUAGAUGCCAUAUGCUACUAAGGCUCUCUAUCAAUAUUUUGCAUGGUUGAUGUCUGUUAAACAUCCAAGAGAGGCUUUUUGGUGGUGAAAUCCUGAACACCAUCCAGCACAGCACCCAACCAUAAGAUUGCUGGUAGCCCACAAUCUUUAGUCCUCUGGAGUGAAAACUGGUCAGUAAAUUUUUUCUGAAACUAAAUGCUGUCAAUUAAAGUCAGUGUUAUCAACUGCAUCACAUCUACUUGGUAUUUCUAUCAUGUGCGUGAAGUCCAUUAUCCAGGACUGUUGUGCUCAACUAUCACAGUAGUCAAGUCCGUCUGGCACAACAUAUGGAUUUCCUUUAAUCAAAUCUAUCUGAAUGAGAGCACUGGCUCCUUCCUCAGUAUGUUUUUAUAAACCACAUAUUUUCAUUUUCCCAUUAGGAGAUUGUUUCCAGCAAGUGUUGAUAGUAUCAGUAAGGCUGUAGUUAUGCUCAUAAAUUAACAAGUCUUUCUUGUCUCUCCUCUCUCUCCUACUGUAGAGGCCGGCUUCAUGCAGAUAUAGGCAGUGAAAUUAUUUUAUACUCCUCGCAUUUUGAUGUCUUGACUAAUAUGGCUCCAAACCAUGACUUUUGAGCCUGUUCUCUUCUGUUGCCUUUGCCUUUUGUUUAUUUGAAUGGGUCAGUCUGCCCAGAGGAAGUAUAAUAUUCUUCCUGUUUCAUAAAAUCUUCAACCUUACAGCUCCUUUCUAGUUUGUAGCUGACUCUUCAGGUAUUUCUGCCUUCUGUCAUCUUCUGCUUGCAGUACUGAAAUGGUUUCCGAGAUCAGAUUAAUACUGCUGCUCUUUAGCAUCUGUCCAACUCUCCUAACAUUGUCUAUUGUCUGAAGCACAUAGAAAUUUCAGCUAGAGGAAGGUGCCAGAAUGCUAAUACAUAUUGUCAGAGACAUUGCUCCAGUACUCAGAAAUAGACUCUGAUAUGCCAUCCGAGACCGCUAUAGCCUAAAGCUUGGGGCAGAGAUAAAGAGAGAUCCUCAGCUAAGACACUGGGAGAAGACAGACAGACAGACUUAGGGAAAAAAAAAGUGGCAGAUCCUGAGGUAGCUUGAAUAAUAUUUGAGAUAGAGAUAGAUUUUAUUAGUGUGGUAAAAUAAGUCAGUGUUAAAAUUAAUCUGUGAAGAAGCAAAUUAUUUAUUAUAACACUUAUUAGGCUUUUAAUGAAUUUUGAAUAAAUAUACUUGAUUUUUUUUUUCAAACGCUCUAGAUAUGGAUUCAAAGAUGUGGAUGCAAAGCAUCCACAGAGCUGGGCAAUAUUUCCAACAGAGUGCCAGUUAUAUUAAUUAUGAGGUUGUUAGUGAUGUUUUGCAACUAACUUCUGCAGUUCCUGUAGUCAGAUAUGUAAAUCAUAACAUGCGGAUGCAAUUUACAGUUUAUUGUUAUGUCUGAUUGUCAGGCUUUAUUUUUACCUUAAGUUAAAGCCAUUUCAAACAAUUAGCAACACCAAAGUUUUCCCUGAUAUAAGGAACAGUUUUUGCAGGCAUUAGAAAUUUCUGAAUCAGACUGAUGUUUCUCAAAUACAUAUUGUGGUUUUGUGCAAAAUCCUUGGAUCUUAAGAAUCCUAGAUUUUGGGUGUGUUUGCAGCUGAAAUUCUGUUCUGCAUAUAUGGUUUGAGGGAUUAUUUAUACUGUUUCAGAAUAUUUCCCAUUUGCUGCACAAAACUUCUGUACGAUUGAAAAUGAGGUGUCAGUGAAGAUACCCAAUUCAAUC